UGAUCACUUAAGCAUCCCAAUACUUAACUUGGAAUGAUACAAAAAGUAUAAGCAUGGCCUUUGUGAAAAGGGUCACACACAAAUUCAAGAAACAUUCAAUAUUUUU
Small nuclear RNA from Mastomys coucha (southern multimammate mouse), 106 nucleotides. The record is from RefSeq and is a predicted model, not a curated record. Lineage: Eukaryota; Metazoa; Chordata; Mammalia; Rodentia; Muridae.